GGAGCUCACAUGUUCUGUUUGUUUUAAUUUAUGAUGCUUCUUUCACUCCUUAGUGAUUAAAACCAACAACAGAUGUUGUGAGGCUCUGGUAAACGUGGAGAUGAGAAUUAAAGGAAACAACCUCCAUCUGAAAGGUCACAUCAGUCUGCGUAGGAUAAAAGAAUGUGAGGGUACAGGCUUGCACCAAACAGGAGAGGUGGAAACUCGUGUCCCAACUAACCUGGGCCCACCACCUUCAGCAGACAGGGUCCUGGCUUUGCUGAGCUUUACCUCCAAAAUUUGCUGGCCGGACAACCUGUCACAGAAGAAGCAGUACUGA
RNAcentral lists this long non-coding RNA (319 nucleotides) under Anas platyrhynchos platyrhynchos (common mallard). RNAcentral describes it as "lncRNA (ENSAPLG00000019140.1)". Lineage: Eukaryota; Metazoa; Chordata; Aves; Anseriformes; Anatidae. The record is from RNAcentral.